UUGACAGCACUGGAGACUGAAGCCCUGUAUUCUACAGAAUGGAAGCAUCAUGGUAGAAAAGCAGCAUAAAGCUUCCCCUGCUGAUUACUGCAUCAGUCCUGACCUAAAAGGAUUAUCUCUAGGGAUAAGAAGAUAGCUCAGUCUCCAAGCCUAUCUUAAGCUUGGUCUCU
This 170-nucleotide small RNA is filed under the name Chelonoidis abingdonii (Abingdon island giant tortoise). Its description in RNAcentral is "TUC338 (ENSCABG00000022587.1)". Lineage: Eukaryota; Metazoa; Chordata; Testudines; Testudinidae. The record is from RNAcentral.